Molecule: small nucleolar RNA, 136 nt
Organism: Paramormyrops kingsleyae
Lineage: Eukaryota; Metazoa; Chordata; Actinopteri; Osteoglossiformes; Mormyridae
Source: Ensembl
GGCCAAAGUGUUGAGUUCAGCUCUGGGCAUCUUCCCCAGUCCUGGUAAUUAAACUUUGGUAAAUGAAAGCAGCCAGGUGUUGAGUGUCAUGCGGAUCGGUCUUGGUCGCCUGUCCGGUCAACUCUGGCUGACAGAU